UGCAGUCGAGUGCGCGCCUGUAGCAAUACAGGUGGCGCACGGCGCACGGGUGCGUAACACGUGGGUAAUCUGCCCUUCGAUGGGGAAUAACCUCGCGAAAGCGAGGCUAAUUCCGCAUAACAUUCCGAGAACCUCGGUUUUUGGAUUCAAAGGCGUAAGUCGUCGGAGGAGGAGCCCGCGCACGAUUAGCUAGUUGGUAGGGUAAUGGCCUACCAAGGCUAUGAUCGUUAGCUGGUCUGAGAGGAUGGCCAGCCACACUGGAACUGAGACACCGUCCAGACUCCUACGGGAGGCAGCAGUGGGGAAUCUUGCACAAUGGGCGAAAGCCUGAUGCAGCGACGCCGCGUGGGGGAUGAAGCUUCUCGGAGUGUAAACCCCUUUCGACCCGGACGAAUGCCCCGCAAGGGGACUGACGGUACGGGUAUAAGAAGCCCCGGCUAACUACGUGCCAGCAGCCGCGGUAAGACGUAGGGGGCCAGCGUUGCUCGGAAUUACUGGGUGUAAAGGGUUCGUAGGCGGUGUAGCAAGUUGGGAGUGAAAUCUCUGGGCUCAACCCAGAGGCUGCUUCCAAAACUGCUGUGCUUGAGUGUGGGAGAGGCGCGUGGAAUUGCAGGUGUAGCGGUGAAAUGCGUAGAUAUCUGCAGGAACACCCGUGGCGAAAGCGGCGCGCUGGACCACUACUGACGCUGAGGAACGAAAGCUAGGGGAGCAAACAGGAUUAGAUACCCUGGUAGUCCUAGCCCUAAACGAUCAGGACUUGGGGUGCCACCCGUUCGGGUGUCGUCCCGGAGCUAACGCGUUAAGUCCUGCACCUGGGGAGUACGGUAGCAAGACUGAAACUCAAAGGAAUUGACGGGGGCCCGCACAAGCGGUGGAACAUGUG
This 883-nucleotide ribosomal RNA is filed under the name uncultured bacterium. RNAcentral describes it as "bacterial SSU rRNA". It matches the Rfam family "Bacterial small subunit ribosomal RNA", at positions 56 to 943 of the family's 1533-position model. The record is from RNAcentral.